Non-coding RNA from Onthophagus taurus, 839 nucleotides. The record is from RefSeq and is a predicted model, not a curated record. NCBI's taxonomy places the organism in Eukaryota, Metazoa, Arthropoda, Insecta, Coleoptera, Scarabaeidae.
UUCAAAUAUUCCGCCAUUUUAGUUACACUGCACUUAUUGAACUUAAUCGAAAGCAGGUGCAACAAAAUCUGCACUAACUUGCACCGGCUGCACUAAAUUGCACUGCACCUGGCCCAACGAACAGUAUGAGUGCAACUGCACUAUCCCCAACGAACACACAACAUCUGCACUAAACUGUAUAGUGCAAGUGAGUGCAAGUAGUGCAGUCCCAACGAACAAAGCUCUAGUAUCGUUUUUUACAUCACGUAGUACACGAAGAACGCAAAUUGACAUCAUUGAAAAUGACAUUUCCCAUAAGGGGACACUCAUACCUAGAGUGUGAUAAGAACAUGGCUCUUGUGAAUCAAAAGAUUAGGGUGGAACAUCCCGAUGAAUGGCUGGAAGUAUUUAAAAAUGCACGGAGGAAGCCAAUUUCCCUUUCAUGUAAUUCCAGUUCAGCAAAAUUUCUUUCGAAGCUGGACCGUUUACUUGGACACUCUUUAUAAAAAAAAAUUACCGUUUAAAUCAAGACCCGUCAGAAUUAUAGAUAUUAAACAGGAAGAUUCUGAUGUUAUACGGUACAAAACUGCCUAUAAUGGUCCUUGGUUCAGUGAAUCACUGAAAACUUCUAAAAGGAAACGUUCUAAACCAUCUCAACAAUUACGUCCAAACGAAUUCUCAUUACCACAGCAUGUAUACGAUCGUCUCCUUCCAAUCUCGGCCGAAAAAUAUCAAAAUUUACAGUUCCUCAAAAGGUUUUGUGGCGAUAAAGCUGCCGAAUAUUUUUAUUCUUCACCACAUAAAUAAGAACAUUUAUUUGUUACAGAUUUCGUUAAUAAAAUUGAUUUUGAUACUUUAAA